This 73-nucleotide transfer RNA is filed under the name Parvimonas micra. Its description in RNAcentral is "tRNA-Met". It matches the Rfam family "tRNA". Rfam says of the family: Transfer RNA (tRNA) molecules are approximately 80 nucleotides in length. Their secondary structure includes four short double-helical elements and three loops (D, anti-codon, and T loops). Further hydrogen bonds mediate the characteristic L-shaped molecular structure. tRNAs have two regions of fundamental functional importance: the anti-codon, which is responsible for specific mRNA codon recognition, and the 3' end, to which the tRNAs corresponding amino acid is attached (by aminoacyl-tRNA synthetases). tRNAs cope with the degeneracy of the genetic code in two manners: having more than one tRNA (with a specific anti-codon) for a particular amino acid; and 'wobble' base-pairing, i.e. permitting non-standard base-pairing at the 3rd anti-codon position. The record is from RNAcentral. Lineage: Bacteria; Bacillati; Bacillota; Tissierellia; Tissierellales; Peptoniphilaceae.
ACCGGGGUGGAGAAGUUGGUAUCUUGUCGGACUCAUCCUCCGAAGAUCGUGGGUUCAAGUCCCACCCCCGGAA